RNAcentral lists this ribosomal RNA (433 nucleotides) under uncultured bacterium. RNAcentral describes it as "partial 16S ribosomal RNA". It matches the Rfam family "Bacterial small subunit ribosomal RNA", at positions 29 to 507 of the family's 1533-position model. The record is from RNAcentral.
AACGAACGCUGGCGGCAGGCCUAACACAUGCAAGUCGAGCGAGGACUUCGGUUCUAGCGGCGGACGGGUGAGUAACGCGUGGGAAUGUGCCCUUCUCUACGGAAUAGCCCUGGGAAACUGGGAGUAAUACCGUAUACGCCCUAUUGGGGAAAGAUUUAUCGGAGAAGGAUCAGCCCGCGUUGGAUUAGGUAGUUGGUGGGGUAAUGGCCUACCAAGCCGACGAUCCAUAGCUGGUUAGAGAGGAUGAUCAGCCACUCUGGAACUGCGACACGGCCCAUACUGCUGCAGGAUGCAGCAGUGUGUGGUCUUAGACAAUGGGCGCGAUCCUAAACGAACCAUUGCGCGUGAGUGAUGGAGGUCGUUGAGAUGUAUAGCUCUUUCGGCUAGGAGGAUAAUGACGGUACCAGCAGAAGAUACCCCGACUAACUCCGGG